GAAUUCCCCCUUAGAGUUUGAUCCUGGCUCAGGACCAUUGCUGGCGGCGUGCUUAACACAUGCAAGUCGAACGAGAAUCUGUGGAUUGAGGAUUCGUCCAAAAGAAACAGAGGACAGUGGCGGACGGGUGAGUAACGCGUGAGGAACCUGCCUUUCAGAGGGGGACAACAGUUGGAAACGACUGCUAAUACCGCAUAACGCAUAUUGGUCGCAUGGUCGAUAUGCCAAAGAAUUAUCGCUGAAAGAUGGCCUCGCGUCUGAUUAGCUAGUUGGUGAGGUAACGGCCCACCAAGGCGACGAUCAGUAGCCGGACUGAGAGGUUGAACGGCCACAUUGGGACUGAGAAACGGCCCAGACUCCUACGGGAGGCAGCAGUGGGGAAUAUUGGGCAAUGGGCGCAAGCCUGACCCAGCAACGCCGCGUGAAGGAAGAAGGCUUUCGGGUUGUAAACUUCUUUUGUGAGGGACGAGAAGAAGACGGUACCUCAUGAAUAAGCCACGGCUAACUACGUGCCAGCAGCCGCGGUAAUACGUAGGCGGCAAGCGUUGUCCGGAUUUACUGGGUGUAAAGGGCGUGUAGCCGGGUCGGCAAGUCAGAUGUGAAAUCCAUGGGCUUAACCCAUGAACUGCAUUUGAAACUGUUGAUCUUGAGUAUCGGAGAGGCAAUCGGAAUUCCUAGUGUAGCGGUGAAAUGCGUAGAUAUUAGGAGGAACACCAGUGGCGAAGGCGGAUUGCUGGACGACAACUGACGGUGAGGCGCGAAAGCGUGGGAGCAAACAGGAUUAGAUACCCUGGUAGUCCACGCUGUAAACGAUGAAUACUAGGUGUGCGGGGACUGACCCCCUGCGUGCCGCAGCUAACGCAAUAAGUAUUCCACCUGGGGAGUACGAUCGCAAGGUUGAAACUCAAAGGAAUUGACGGGGGCCCGCACAAGCGGUGGAUUAUGUGGUUUAAUUCGAAGCAACGCGAAGAACCUUACCAGGGCUUGACAUCCUACUAACGAAGUAGAGAUACAUCAGGUGCCCUCCGGGGAAAGUAGAGACAGGUGGUGCAUGGUUGUCGUCAGCUCGUGUCGUGAGAUGUUGGGUUAAGUCCCGCAACGAGCGCAACCCUUGUCUUUAGUUACCAUCAUUCAGUUGGGGACUCUAGAGAGACUGCCGGUGAUAAACCGGAGGAAGGUGGGGAUGACGUCAAAUCAUCAUGCCCUUUAUGGCCUGGGCUACACGCGUACUACAAUGGCGUACACAAAAAGAAGCAAUACAGCGAUGUGGAGCAAAACUUAUAAAUUACGUCUCAGUUCGGAUCGGAGUCUGCAAUUCGACUCCGUGAAGUUGGAAUCGCUAGUAAUCGCGAAUCAGCAUGUCGCGGUGAAUACGUUCUCGGGGCUUGUACACACCACCCGUCA
This 1404-nucleotide ribosomal RNA is filed under the name uncultured bacterium. RNAcentral describes it as "bacterial SSU rRNA". It matches the Rfam family "Bacterial small subunit ribosomal RNA". The record is from RNAcentral.